RNAcentral lists this ribosomal RNA (465 nucleotides) under Vreelandella stevensii. RNAcentral's name for it is "partial 16S ribosomal RNA". It matches the Rfam family "Bacterial small subunit ribosomal RNA", at positions 338 to 795 of the family's 1533-position model. Lineage: Bacteria; Pseudomonadati; Pseudomonadota; Gammaproteobacteria; Oceanospirillales; Halomonadaceae. The record is from RNAcentral.
CCUACGGGUGGCAGCAGUGGGGAAUAUUGGACAAUGGGGGCAACCCUGAUCCAGCCAUGCCGCGUGUGUGAAGAAGGCCCUCGGGUUGUAAAGCACUUUCAGUGAGGAAGAACGCCUGGUGGUUAAGACCCAUCAGGAAAGACAUCACUCACAGAAGAAGCACCGGCUAACUCCGUGCCAGCAGCCGCGGUAAUACGGAGGGUGCGAGCGUUAAUCGGAAUUACUGGGCGUAAAGCGCGCGUAGGUGGCUUGAUAAGCCGGUUGUGAAAGCCCCGGGCUCAACCUGGGAACGGCAUCCGGAACUGUCAAGCUAGAGUGCAGGAGAGGAAGGUAGAAUUCCCGGUGUAGCGGUGAAAUGCGUAGAGAUCGGGAGGAAUACCAGUGGCGAAGGCGGCCUUCUGGACUGACACUGACACUGAGGUGCGAAAGCGUGGGUAGCAAACAGGAUUAGAUACCCCUGUAGUC